Molecule: ribosomal RNA, 253 nt
Filed under: uncultured bacterium
Lineage: Bacteria
Description: partial 16S ribosomal RNA
Rfam family: Bacterial small subunit ribosomal RNA
Source: RNAcentral
UACGGAGGGGGCUAGCGUUGUUCGGAAUUACUGGGCGUAAAGCGCACGUAGGCGGCUUUGUAAGUUAGAGGUGAAAGCCCAGAGCUCAACCCUGGAAUUGCCUUUAAGACUGCAUCGCUUGAACAUCGGAGAGGUAAGUGGAAUUCCGAGUGUAGAGGUGAAAUUCGUAGAUAUUCGGAAGAACACCAGUGGCGAAGGCGACUUACUGGACGAUUGUUGACGCUGAGGUGCGAAAGCGUGGGGAGCAAACAGG